GGGAAUAUAGCUCAGUUGGUAGAGUGCCUGCCUUGCAAGCAGAAAGUCCUCGGUUCGACUCCGAGUAUUUCCA
This 73-nucleotide transfer RNA is filed under the name Mychonastes homosphaera. RNAcentral's name for it is "tRNA-Ala". It matches the Rfam family "tRNA". From Rfam's summary of the family: Transfer RNA (tRNA) molecules are approximately 80 nucleotides in length. The record is from RNAcentral. Lineage: Eukaryota; Viridiplantae; Chlorophyta; Chlorophyceae; Sphaeropleales; Mychonastaceae.